This 43-nucleotide transfer RNA is filed under the name Valeriana rigida. RNAcentral describes it as "partial tRNA-Leu". The record is from RNAcentral. Lineage: Eukaryota; Viridiplantae; Streptophyta; Magnoliopsida; Dipsacales; Caprifoliaceae.
GUCUUUAGAAAUCGUGACGGUUCAAGUCCCUCUAUCCCCAAAC